UUUGUACUCCCUCCGUCCCAAAAUUCUUGUCUUACAUUUGUUUAGAUACAGAUGUAUCUAGUAGAUACAUCUGUAUUUAGACAAAUUUAAGACAAGAAUUUUGGGACAGAGGGAAUACUAC
Triticum aestivum (bread wheat) is the source of this 121-nucleotide non-coding RNA. Lineage: Eukaryota; Viridiplantae; Streptophyta; Magnoliopsida; Poales; Poaceae. The record is from Rfam.